AAUUUUAAAAUUAAGAUAAUAAAAUUAUUAUUAUAUAGAAAUAUUAUUGAUUUGUUAAUUUUUAAAGGUUUAAAAAAAAAUGUUGUUUUAUUAAAAAUUUUUGAAAUAAUUUAAUAUAUUUAUAGUUUAAAGUAAUGUGAAUGAAAUAAGUAUUAAAUGUUAGAAAGUAGAAUAUUUUUUUGUACCUUUUGUAUCAGGGUUGAUUAAAAAUAUUUUAAUAAUUUAUGUAUCUCGAAAAUAAAAGAGCUAAAUUUAUAAAAUUUUUUUUGUAGCAAUAAAAUUAUAAAUAUAAAUUUAGAAAUUAUAUGUUAAACGAAUUUAUUGAUAUCUAUUUUUUUUAGAAAUAAAUUUAAUUUAGAUGUAAAAAUUUUAUAAAUUAAAAUUAUAAUUUUGAUUUAUAAUUUUUAUAUUAAAAAUUUAUGGGAUAAACUGUAAAUUUAUGGAUAAAAAUUUUUUUUUAAGAAAAAAAUUUUAAUUUUAUAGAAAUAAUAUUUAUUUUUAAUUUAAAAAAUUUAAUAAUUUAUUAUUAAUGUAAUUAGAAAGAUUUAAAUUAAAAAUUUUAUUUUUAAUAUAAAGAUAUAUAUUAAAAUUUAUAAAGUAUAGUAAUAAUGAUUAAAUAAGUAGUAAUAUUUAUAGGAUAUAUUAUAAUAUAUAUAUAUAUGUAUAUAUAUAAUUUAAAGGAAUUCGGCAAAAUGAUUAUUCACCUGUUUAUCAAAAACAUGUCCUAUUGUUUAUAAUUUUAGGUCGAUCUGCUCCAUGAAUUUUAUAUUUAAAUAGCUGCAGUAUAUUGACUGUACAAAGGUAGCAUAAUAAAUUGUCUUUUAAUUGAAGAAUUGAAUGAAUGGAUUAAUGAAAUAAUAACUGUCUCUAAAUUAUUUAAUGAAUUUAGAUUUUUAGUAAAAAUUCUAAAAUUUAAUUAUGGGACGAUAAGACCCUAUAGAAUUUUAUUUAAUUUAUUAUUUAUAUAAAUAUUAAUAUGUAAAUAAUAGUUUAAAUUUGAUUGGGAGGAUUAAUAAAUUUAAUAAACUUUAUUUAAUAAUUAAUUUUGAUUUAAAGAUAUAUUUUGAUUUAUAAAUUAUAAUUAUAAGAAUAAAUUACCUUAGGGAUAACAGCGUAAUAUCUUUUGAUAGACCGUAUAGAUAAAGAUGAUUGCGACCUCGAUGUUGAAUUAAGAUUAAAGUUAAACGCAGAAGUUAAAAUUUUGAGUCUGUUCGACUCUUAAAAUCUUACAUGAUUUGAGUUCAAAUCGACGUAAGUCAGAUUGGUUUCUAUCUAUAAUAAAUUUUAAAUUAAUUGUACGAAAGGACCUUAAUUUAUAAAUAAU
This 1324-nucleotide ribosomal RNA is filed under the name Apis laboriosa (Himalayan honeybee). Its description in RNAcentral is "16S ribosomal RNA". The record is from RNAcentral. Lineage: Eukaryota; Metazoa; Arthropoda; Insecta; Hymenoptera; Apidae.